GCCCGAGCCGAGGCCGUCUCCGCAUCCCACCCGGAGCCGGGGGGGUCCCCGCGGGGCAUCAAUGAACGCGCGGUUGCGCCGGCAGCGAGAGGGGGCUGCGCGCUCAGCCAAUGGGCUCCGCCCGCACCGCCCUCAGCCAAUGAGCGGCGCCUCAUUCAGCGGCGGCAGCCAAUGAGAGGCGGGGCGGGGCCCUUCCGGGCGGCGGUGCAGCGGAUACAUAGUAGCGAGCGGCGGGAGUGGGGGGCGUGGCCUCGCUGCUCAUUGCCGCGGGCGGCUCGGCUCGGCUCGGCUCGGCUCGGCUCGGAUGCGACCCAGCUCGGCCCCGACCCCUCUCGGCCCCUUGCCCUGACCCGGCUCGGCCCUGCCCGGCCCGCCUCGGCCCUUCCCGGCCAUGCUUUCCGCCCCAUGGCCCCUGUGGAGCUCGACGCGCUGGCCGUGCGGGAGCAGCUUUUCCACGAACGAAUCCGCGAAUGCAUCGGGGCUUCUGGGACAGUCAGAGCCACGCGUCCCUGCAGCGCUGCGCCUCUCCCGGGAACGCCUGGCUCAGCUCCGCCAGCGUGGAGCCCUCUCGACCUUUCAGACUUUCCCGGGCCACGUCGUGGAGCUCUGCCCCGUGGUUACAUCAGCGCCUCUGGGAGCCCUCGCCCUGAGCUGAGCUGCAGCUGGGACGCUGCUGUCUCAUGGAUCUCCCCCCGAAACCCCUUCCUCACUCCUUUGCUGAGGGCAGGAGGUGUUCGGAGCCCUCUGAGCCAACACCAAGCACAGGGUGCUUCCCUCAGCGGGAACAGGGGCAGGGACAACCCUCAGGGUGCCCCGAGCUGGGCUGUUCUCAGGGCUCUCUGCCACCCCACCGAUGGGACCCCCACCCCCGGGACCCCCCAGCCGAGCCCCUAACGUGAAGGACACCCAGGCAGGAGGGCGGUGCCGGUGCCAAGGCGUUGGGUUCAGGCGACCUUUCCCCAUCCCGCCGCGUACCCACGGGGAUGAAAGGUCGCAGUGUUCCUCGAACGUCGCCUGCUCGGGCCGGAGCUCGGCGUGCCGGCGGGGGAGGGAGGGACAGACAGACAGACACGCCGCAGUCGGCCUUGGUGCUGGGCUCAAGGCCGUUCCCGCAGCCCCACCGGGUGCUGGCGCCAGCGGUGCGAGGGCUGCGGGGUCGGGGUGUUCCAUGCUGGGCCGAGCCAGGGCUGCUGCUGGAGCUCGCCCUGCGCUCUCCGUGCACGGGGGGCAGCUCGUGAGCACCCAGUGGGUGAGCCCCGAGUGCAGCCCAUGCGCGUUCGGGGGGGGGAGCGAGCAGGGUCAGGAUAAUUAAACAGAGGGGAGCUGAUGGGGCCUGGGGCUGUCAGCGUUCCCUGAGGGGGGUGGGGGGGAAUGCUGCCCUCUGAGGUCGCCCACGACGCUGUGCCUGCAGAUCUGUGCCCUGCUCUUCGCCAGCCUCUACAUCCUCUGCCACUUCGUCAUAAGGCACUUCAAGAAGCAGACGGACUUUGCAGCAGGUA
RNAcentral lists this long non-coding RNA (1499 nucleotides) under Numida meleagris (helmeted guineafowl). RNAcentral's name for it is "lncRNA (ENSNMEG00000003845.1)". Lineage: Eukaryota; Metazoa; Chordata; Aves; Galliformes; Numididae. The record is from RNAcentral.